RNAcentral lists this ribosomal RNA (177 nucleotides) under Centroctenus claudia. Its description in RNAcentral is "partial small subunit ribosomal RNA". The record is from RNAcentral. Lineage: Eukaryota; Metazoa; Arthropoda; Arachnida; Araneae; Ctenidae.
ACCCUAUUAUAUUUAAACAAAUUUAGGUAAUAAUAAAUUAUAAUUAAACCUAUUUAUUUUGGCGGCAAUUUACCUUAUCAAAGGAACUUGUUUUUUAAUCGACAAACCACGUUUAAUUUCACUUAAAUUAAUAAUUUAUAUACCGCCAUCUUAAGAAUCAAUUUAAAUAAAUCAUUC